AGACCCCUCUUGCGUUGCUCGGAUUCAUUGGGCGUAAAGGGCGUGUACCUGGCGCGCUCCGUCGGGUGUGAAAUUUCGGAGCUUAACUCCGAAACUGCAUUCGAUACUGGCGUGCUUGAGGACUGGAGAGGACACUGGAAUUUACGGUGUAGCACUGAAAUGCGUAGAUAUCGUAAGGAAGACCAGUGGCGAAGGCGGGUCUCUGGACAGUUCCUGACACUGACACACCAACGCCAGGGGAGCAAACGGGAUUAGAUACCCCGGUAGUCCUGGCAGUAAACGGUGCACGUUUGGUGUGGGAGGAUUCGACCCCUUCUGCGCCGGAGCUAACGCGUUAAACGUGCCGCCUGGGGAGUACGGUCGCAAGAUUA
Molecule: ribosomal RNA, 371 nt
Filed under: uncultured bacterium
Lineage: Bacteria
Description: bacterial SSU rRNA
Rfam family: Bacterial small subunit ribosomal RNA
Source: RNAcentral